UACGUAGGGUGCAAGCGUUAUCCGGAAUUAUUGGGCGUAAAGAGCUCGUAGGCGGUCUGUCGCGUCGGCUGUGAAAACUUGGGGCUCAACCCCAAGCCUGCAGUCGAUACGGGCAGACUAGAGUGCGGUAGGGGAGACUGGAUUCCUGGUGUAGCGGUGAAAUGACGCAGAUAUCAGGAGGAACACCGGUGGCGAAGGCGGGUCUCUGGGCAGUAACUGACGCUGAGGAGCGAAAGCGUGGGGAGCGAACAGG
Molecule: ribosomal RNA, 253 nt
Filed under: uncultured bacterium
Lineage: Bacteria
Description: partial 16S ribosomal RNA
Rfam family: Bacterial small subunit ribosomal RNA
Source: RNAcentral